CUCCCAGGCGUCGAGCGGCGGACGGGUGAGUAACACUUAGGAAUCUACCUAGUAGUGGGGGAUAGCUCGGGGAAACUCGAAUUAAUACCGCAUACGUCCUACGGGAGAAAGGGGGCAGUUUACUGCUCUCGCUAUUAGAUGAGCCUAAGUCGGAUUAGCUAGAUGGUGGGGUAAAGGCCUACCAUGGCGACGAUCUGUAGCUGGUCUGAGAGGAUGAUCAGCCACACCGGGACUGAGACACGGCCCGGACUCCUACGGGAGGCAGCAGUGGGGAAUAUUGGACAAUGGGGGAAACCCUGAUCCAGCCAUGCCGCGUGUGUGAAGAAGGCCUUUUGGUUGUAAAGCACUUUAAGCAGUGAAGAAGACCUAACGGUUAAUACCCGUUAGCGAUGACAUUAGCUGCAGAAUAAGCACCGGCUAACUCUGUGCCAGCAGCCGCGGUAAUACAGAGGGUGCAAGCGUUAAUCGGAAUUACUGGGCGUAAAGCGAGCGUAGGUGGCUUGAUAAGUCAGAUGUGAAAUCCCCGGGCUUAACCUGGGAACUGCAUCUGAUACUGUUAAGCUAGAGUAGGUGAGAGGGAAGUAGAAUUCCAGGUGUAG
This 599-nucleotide ribosomal RNA is filed under the name Psychrobacter celer. Its description in RNAcentral is "bacterial SSU rRNA". It matches the Rfam family "Bacterial small subunit ribosomal RNA", at positions 81 to 678 of the family's 1533-position model. The record is from RNAcentral. Lineage: Bacteria; Pseudomonadati; Pseudomonadota; Gammaproteobacteria; Moraxellales; Moraxellaceae.